UGUUUAAUAAUUUAAAUAAAAAUUUUAAUUUGCAAAAUUAAAUUUAUCUUUAUAAGAUUUAAACAU
RNAcentral lists this transfer RNA (66 nucleotides) under Sycophila sp. 2 JXW-2020. Its description in RNAcentral is "tRNA-Cys". Lineage: Eukaryota; Metazoa; Arthropoda; Insecta; Hymenoptera; Eurytomidae. The record is from RNAcentral.